Molecule: long non-coding RNA, 453 nt
Organism: Hemiscyllium ocellatum (epaulette shark)
Lineage: Eukaryota; Metazoa; Chordata; Chondrichthyes; Orectolobiformes; Hemiscylliidae
Exons: 2
Source: RefSeq, a predicted model, not a curated record
CCAGCAAUUUCUGUAUUUGUUAAAACAAAACAUUCAUUUAAACACAGGUAUCUGUGCCAGCUGUCUGGAUACAGAAUUGGCUGGCAAGCAGAAGACAGCGAGUGGUAGUGGAAGGAAAAUAUUCUGCCUGGAAGUCUGUGAUCCUUACAGCAAUCCCAGAGGUUACAACAUCAACAGAGAUCUCAGAGGGAAAAGCAGCUGGGGAUCAUUUAUUGAAACUUCCAACCAUUCUGGGAUCUCCAACAGCUUCUGAAUGCUGCAGCCUAAAACAAAACGAGAAACCCUCGUCUGGGAGAGCUGGCCACUGCCCUUUCAUUGUUCCCACCGUUUUAAUGAAACCUAAAAUCUCAGUUAUUUACUUAAACUGUUUUCAGACAGCAGUUCUGCACCUCUGCCUUUAAAACCUCUCUUCAAAAAAAAACACAAGAGAAAAUAAACGUUUUACAAUGAUAA